AUUGCACGCUGGCGGCAGGCCUAAAACAUGCAAGUCGAGCGGAGCGGCGGACGGGUGAGUAAUGCCUAGGAAUCUGCCUGGUAGUGGGGGAUAACGUCCGGAAACGGGCGCUAAUACCGCAUACUAUCAGAUGAGCCUAGGUCGGAUUAGCUAGUUGGUGGGGUAAAGGCCUACCAAGGCGACGAUCUGUAACUGGUCUGCGAGGAUGAGCAGUCACACUGGAACCGAUACACGGUCCACACUCCUACGCGAGUCAGCAGUGGGGAAUAUUGGGCAAUGGGCGAAAGCCUGAUCCAGCCAUGCCGCGUGUGUGAAGAAGGUCUUCUGGUUGUAAAGCACUUUAAGUUGUGAGGCGUUACCAACAGAAUAAGCACCGGCUAACUGCGAGCCAGCAGCCGCGGUAAUUC
Molecule: ribosomal RNA, 407 nt
Filed under: uncultured bacterium
Lineage: Bacteria
Description: partial 16S ribosomal RNA
Rfam family: Bacterial small subunit ribosomal RNA
Source: RNAcentral